Molecule: transfer RNA, 84 nt
Filed under: Candidatus Woesearchaeota archaeon
Lineage: Archaea; Nanobdellati; Candidatus Woesearchaeota
Description: tRNA-Ser
Rfam family: tRNA
About the family: Transfer RNA (tRNA) molecules are approximately 80 nucleotides in length. Their secondary structure includes four short double-helical elements and three loops (D, anti-codon, and T loops). Further hydrogen bonds mediate the characteristic L-shaped molecular structure. tRNAs have two regions of fundamental functional importance: the anti-codon, which is responsible for specific mRNA codon recognition, and the 3' end, to which the tRNAs corresponding amino acid is attached (by aminoacyl-tRNA synthetases). tRNAs cope with the degeneracy of the genetic code in two manners: having more than one tRNA (with a specific anti-codon) for a particular amino acid; and 'wobble' base-pairing, i.e. permitting non-standard base-pairing at the 3rd anti-codon position.
Source: RNAcentral
GCCGAGGUGGCGCAACCUGGUACCGCGCCGGUCUCGAAAACCGGUUUCCGCAAGGAUGUAGGGGUUCAAAUCCUCUCCUCGGCG